GGGCCGUUAGCUCAGCGGUAGAGCACCCGACUCUUAAUCGGGUGGUCGAGGGUUCAAACCCCUCACGGCCCG
RNAcentral lists this transfer RNA (72 nucleotides) under Candidatus Woesearchaeota archaeon. RNAcentral describes it as "tRNA-Lys". It matches the Rfam family "tRNA". From Rfam's summary of the family: Transfer RNA (tRNA) molecules are approximately 80 nucleotides in length. Their secondary structure includes four short double-helical elements and three loops (D, anti-codon, and T loops). Lineage: Archaea; Nanobdellati; Candidatus Woesearchaeota. The record is from RNAcentral.